Molecule: long non-coding RNA, 623 nt
Organism: Pristis pectinata (smalltooth sawfish)
Lineage: Eukaryota; Metazoa; Chordata; Chondrichthyes; Rhinopristiformes; Pristidae
Exons: 3
Source: RefSeq, a predicted model, not a curated record
GUUCUUCUAAAUAACUACUAAAGUUCCCACACCACUUAACUAUUCAGCUCGUUAAUCCUAUUUAUAAACAUGCGCCUCGCUGUGUUCAGAAGUCACAACCCGGCAAACCAAUCGCCCCACGAUUCCAUCCUUCUACCCAGCCCAUGUCGCCGAUUACUUGCUCCUCCACCAAGCUAUGAGGAAAGGAACCACAACUGUUGAGAACAAUUUGAAAGUAUAAUAUCUGACAUUGAGAAUCUGAGGAAGUUUCCCGUCUACAUUUCCCGUGAAGAGUAAAUGCAUAUCAAAAAAAUUAUAAUAUGGUUGGACUUCAAAACGCUACUGAACAACUAUUUGUGAAUUUAGCUCUAAAUGGAAACAAUUUAUUGUUAACAACAUUUUUUAUUUCAGUUUUUUCUGCUUAACGUAACAGAAAAUCAAUUACGUGACACUGAAUAAAUAUUAAAAAAAACAUGCAAAAAUGUGUUCUGUAAAUAUUUCUGUACCUUACCACAUUGGCCAUUGCUACAACGACUUGCUUUCAGUCCUAAAAUGACUGCAGUAAUUAAACUAUUCUGCCUUUAUUUGUCUUGGUACAGAUUCAAUGCUUUACUUAAGAUUUUAAGUAAGCCCUUAGUAUUCUA